This 1475-nucleotide ribosomal RNA is filed under the name metagenome. RNAcentral describes it as "bacterial SSU rRNA". It matches the Rfam family "Bacterial small subunit ribosomal RNA". The record is from RNAcentral.
CGAGUUUGAUCCUGGCUCAGAAGAAACGCUUGCGGUUUGCCUUAUACAUGCAAGUUGGACGCUCGGGUAUGAGCGUAGCAUACGGGUGCGGAAUACCUGGGAAUCUACCCCUCAGUAUGGGCCAAAAUGCCUUGAGUAAUCAAGGGUUGAAUCCUGUAUACGUUGAAGGGUGUUGCACACCGCUGAGGGAUGAGCCCAGGGAGGAUUAGGUAGUUGGUGUGGGAAGGGCGCACCAAGCCGACGAUCCUUCGCUGGCCUGAGAGGGUGGUCAGCCACACUGGGACUGAGACACGGCCCAGACUCCUUUGGGAGGCAGCAGUAGGGAAUAUUGGACAAUGGGCGAAAGCCUGAUCCAGCAAGACCGCGUGGGUGAUGAAGGGCAUCUGCUCGUAAAGCCCAAACCCAGGAUAUAGAUCAUGCCAUGAUCCUGGGAAAAGCCCCGGCAAAUUCCGUGCCAGCAGCCGCGGUAAGACGGGAGGGGCAAGUGUUCUUCGGAAUGACUGGGCGUACAGGGUACGUAGGCGGGCAUCUGUGUUGUCUGUGAAAGCCCAAGGCCUAACCUUGGGACUGCGGGCAAAACUGGAUGUCUUUGGGUUGGGCAGGGGAGAGUGGAAUUCCCUGUGGAGGGGUAGAAUCCAUCGAGAUAGGGAGGAAGGCCGAACGCGAAGGCAGCUCUCUGGGCCCAAACCGACGCUGAGGUACGAAAGCAUGGGGAGCAAACAGGAUUAGAUACCCUGGUAGUCCAUGCUGUCAACGAUGAGUGCUCGCGUUGUGGGUAUACCCUGCGACGCCACGCUAAGGCAUGAAGCACUCCGCCUGGGGAGUACGGUCGCAAGGCUGAAACUCAAAGGAAUUGACGGGGGCCCACACAAGCGGUGGAGCAUGUGGUUUAAUUCGAAACAACGCGCAGAACCUUACCAGCCUUUGCAAUACACAUAGACACCGGGUUAUGCCAGUGCUCUUGUGUGUACAGGUGCUGCAUGGCUGUCGUCAGCUCGUGCCGUGAGGCGUCGGGUUCAGUCCUUGAACGAGCGAAACCCUUACCCUCUGUUGCUAUCGAGAUCAAGGUCUCGAGCACUCUGGGGGGACUGCCGGCGAGAUGCCGGAGGAAGGUGGGGAUGACGUCAAGUCCUCAUGGCCCUUAUAGGCUGGGCUACACACGUGCUACAGUGGGAGGUACAACAAGAUGCAAGGGCGCGAGCCGGAGCGAAUCUCGAAAUCCUCUCAUGGUUCGGAGCGUUCUCUGCAACUCGAGAACGUGAAGUUGGAAUCGCUAGUAAUCGCGGAUCAGCAUGCCGCGGUGAAUCUGUACCUGGGCCUUGUACACACCGCCCGUCACACCCUGGGAAUACAUCAACCCCAAUACCAUAACUAGAUACACCAGCACCCGUGUUUGUGUGCAAGGUUGUGAUCACGGGUUGGUGUGUGACUGAGGUGAAGUCGAAACAAGGUAGCGGUACCGGUAGGUGCCGCUG